Molecule: ribosomal RNA, 159 nt
Filed under: Pythium insidiosum
Lineage: Eukaryota; Oomycota; Peronosporomycetes; Pythiales; Pythiaceae
Description: 5.8S ribosomal RNA
Source: RNAcentral
CAUCUUUCCACAGGGAGAUGUUAGGGUCUCACACUGCUAAAAAGAGCGCUGCGCAGCGCUAUACGAAAUGCGAAGCACGGAUCUCAGGGUCUUACGGAAAUUGAAAGCGCAUAUCCCACUUCGGAUUUAGCCUGAAAUAUUGCCCUGUCUGGGUCCCGA